RNA transcript from Homo sapiens (human), 386 nucleotides. It is a transcript of the gene named keratinocyte proline-rich protein-like, with no coding region annotated. The transcript has 2 exons. NCBI's taxonomy places the organism in Eukaryota, Metazoa, Chordata, Mammalia, Primates, Hominidae. The record is from RefSeq and is a predicted model, not a curated record.
GUCGGGAGCAGGGGCCGCGGGCGGCAGCUGACGGGCGGGCCCUUCCGGAGGCGCCGCGCCUGGACCGUGGCCGCAGGGGUUCCAGUCUCGAUCAUCAGUGAAGUCCUUCCACAUCCAUGGGGCGUCCACCAACUAGGAGCUUAAUCAACACAACGCUGUGGCCUCUCCAGCUCAGGGACGUGCCUUUCCCGUGUCUUCUUCUCACACACAAACGUAGCCUGCAAGGAAGGUCAGGUUCAAUGCACGGAAUCUACCCUGCUGCCCGCUAGGAGGUCAUAUGUGUAUCACAGACCCGCAGAGAAUGCUCUCCACAGUACAUGAAGCGCGGUACAAAUGGAAUGAGUGUAACGGGCAUUCUCUGUUUGAAAAAAGUUAUCCCAAUUGAA